RNAcentral lists this ribosomal RNA (550 nucleotides) under Papiliotrema flavescens. Its description in RNAcentral is "partial large subunit ribosomal RNA". It matches the Rfam family "Eukaryotic large subunit ribosomal RNA", at positions 119 to 658 of the family's 3401-position model. Lineage: Eukaryota; Fungi; Basidiomycota; Tremellomycetes; Tremellales; Rhynchogastremaceae. The record is from RNAcentral.
AAUCUGGCGUGCUCAGUGCGUCCGAGUUGUAAUCUAUAGAGUCGUUUUCCGUGCCGGACUGUGUCCAAGUCCCUUGGAACAGGGUAUCAAAGAGGGUGAUAAUCCCGUACUUGACACAAUGACCGGUGCUCUGUGAUACGUCUUCUACGAGUCGAGUUGUUUGGGAAUGCAGCUCAAAAUGGGUGGUGAGUUCCAUCUAAAGCUAAAUAUUGGCGAGAGACCGAUAGCGAACAAGUACCGUGAGGGAAAGAUGAAAAGCACUUUGGAAAGAGAGUUAAACAGUACGUGAAAUUGUUAAAAGGGAAACGAUUGAAGUCAGUCGUGACUGAGAGGCUCAGCCGGUUCUGCCGGUGUAUUCCCCUCAGUCGGGUCAACAUCAGUUUUGUUCGGUGGAUAAGGGCAGUUGGAAGGUGGCACCCUCGGGUGUGUUAUAGCCAGCUGUCGCAUACAUCGGAUGAGACUGAGGAAUGCAGCUCGCCUUUAUGGCCGGGGUUCGCCCACGUUCGAGCUUAGGAUGUUGACAUAAUGGCUUUAAACGACCCGUCUUGAA